Molecule: ribosomal RNA, 254 nt
Filed under: uncultured bacterium
Lineage: Bacteria
Description: partial 16S ribosomal RNA
Rfam family: Bacterial small subunit ribosomal RNA
Source: RNAcentral
UACGUAGGAGGCGAGCGUUGUCCGGAAUCACUGGGCGUAAAGGGCGCGUAGGCGGCGCGGAUAGUCGGCGGUGAAAGCCCGGAGCUCAACUCCGGGUCGGCCGUCGAUACUUCCGGGCUUGAGCACUGUAGAGGCAGAUGGAAUUCCGGGUGUAGCGGUGGAAUGCGUAGAGAUCCGGAAGAACACCGGUGGCGAAGGCGGUCUGCUGGGCAGUUGCUGACGCUGAUGCGCGACAGCGUGGGGAGCAAACAGGG